CAGUCGCCGCGGUAAUGCGUAGGUGGCAAGCGUUGUCCGGAAUUAUUGGGCGUAAAGGGCUCGCAGGCGGUUUCUUAAGUCUGAUGUGAAAGCCCCCGGCUCAACCGGGGAGGGUCAUUGGAAACUGGGAAACUUGAGUGCAGAAGAGGAGAGUGGAAUUCCACGUGUAGCGGUGAAAUGCGUAGAGAUGUGGAGGAACACCAGUGGCGAAGGCGACUCUCUGGUCUGUAACUGACGCUGAGGAGCGAAAGCGUGGGGAGCGAACAGGAUUAGAUACCCCCGUAGUCCCUGUCUCUUAUAU
RNAcentral lists this ribosomal RNA (301 nucleotides) under uncultured bacterium. RNAcentral describes it as "partial 16S ribosomal RNA". It matches the Rfam family "Bacterial small subunit ribosomal RNA", at positions 509 to 809 of the family's 1533-position model. The record is from RNAcentral.